Molecule: ribosomal RNA, 492 nt
Filed under: uncultured bacterium
Lineage: Bacteria
Description: partial 16S ribosomal RNA
Rfam family: Bacterial small subunit ribosomal RNA
Source: RNAcentral
AUUGAACGCUGGCGGCAUGCUUUACACAUGCAAGUCGAACGGUAACAGGCCUUCGGGUGCUGACGAGUGGCGCACGGGUGAGUAAUGCAUCGGAACGUACCCAGAGGUGGGGGAUAACGCAGCGAAAGCUGUGCUAAUACCGCAUGUGAUCUGAGGAUGAAAGCGGGGGACCGAGCAGCAAUGUUUGGCCUCGCGCCUUUGGAGCGGCCGAUGUCGGAUUAGCUAGUUGGUGGGGUAAAGGCCUACCAAGGCGACGAUCCGUAGCUGGUCUGAGAGGACGACCAGCCACACUGGGACUGAGACACGGCCCAGACUCCUACGGGAGGCAGCAGUGGGGAAUUUUGGACAAUGGGCGCAAGCCUGAUCCAGCAAUGCCGCGUGCGGGAAGAAGGCCUUCGGGUUGUAAACCGCUUUUGGCAGGAACGAAACGGUGUCCGCUAAUACCGGGCGCUAAUGACGGUACCUGCAGAAUAAGCACCGGCUAACUACGCG